Molecule: small nuclear RNA, 94 nt
Filed under: Nelumbo nucifera (sacred lotus)
Lineage: Eukaryota; Viridiplantae; Streptophyta; Magnoliopsida; Proteales; Nelumbonaceae
Source: RNAcentral
GUCUUUUUAGAGACAUCCAGUAAAAUUGGAACAAUACAGUGAAGAUUAGCAUGGCCCCUGCACAAGGAUGGCACGCACAAAUUGAGGAAUAUUU